UACACUGCCGUUUCCACCAAAAACCAAAAAUGAUUACUGCACAACCGGCCAAUGCCUGUAUACAUUAAUAAACCUACUCUCGAUGGCAGAUAUCGAGGUCAACUAAAUAAAUCCAUCAAUUCCUCUAGCCAACUACAGUAUCGAAAAUGAAACCAUGAAUGGACCAUACACAUGUUGUAUUCCUAGAUUAGGAUCUAACUACCUAGACCCAGCCAACACUUCCCUUGAAUCACUGCCACAAGACCGAGAGAUCACUCAGUACUAAUGUGAGAAUUUUUGCAACACAACGGAACUUUAAAAAAAAAAGAAAAGAUGAGGAUAUGCUGGCCACUAAAGUUUGUGAUUAAACACUCCAAGCACCCACAUCACCUUCAGGGUACAAACGGGUAUAUGUGAACAUUGUGGAUCUCAUGAAUCCACCAUUUCAUCUUGGAUCUCAUUGGGUGCAAUUAGACCAGGAAUAGAACGCAUCCGCUGACGUUCCCUCUCUCUCUGAGCAGCUGCUUCCUCGGCAUAAAGGUCCUUAUUGUCCUGAGCAGAGAACUCUUUUGAUUGCACAAGGAAGUCCCUUAUGUGAUUCUUGAAUGUUGGAAGGUCAUUUGUUGAAUCAAAUAGCCCACUGACAAAUUGAGUCACUUCAGCAGCGGUCAUGUUGGGGAAGGAUGUACUAAGAAGCUUAAUGGUGUAUUCGCGAACAAACUCAACAUUAUUUGGAUAUGAACAAGGCACAGUAGAAGCAUCCCAUAGAGGCUCAGACAACAUAACUACCAUGCAAAAUAAGUGCUGUAGCACCAAUACAUGCAAUUUAAACCCAGGCUUAUGAAAAGUAUCUGUCAGAACAGCAAAAAUUUCUUGCUCGAUCGUCAAAUAGUAAGUCCUAUAAAACUGGUUAGCAAACUCAGAAUUCUGAAAAUUUUUCAGCAUUGCCAACAAAAGAUUAAGCCCGGUUUCAGCAAUGUUCCUCUCAGUGUGCCGAAAAGCCCAUAUUAUAGAAUCCAUGACAAGUUUCAAUUGCUCACUCGACAGCCUUAUCAAAGCAGCAAAACAAUGUGUAGCAAUUGCACGAAGUAAUGAAAAGAACUUGAGUCGAUGCUCCGGAUAAUCUUCAAAGUUUUUUGUGAUCAUCUCCAGAGUACACUGGAAAGCAGCUUCAAAUAUUCGAGGGACAUCCUCAAUCAUUGCCCCCUUGUACUUGUUUAUAAUUGUAGCAAAAAGGGAGAGAACUUCAGAUUCCCUAGCAUCAGGCACAUUCCUUGCAUAGUCACCUAAAACUGGGUCCAUCAUUGGCGGCACAAAUUGUUUCCCAAUGUGUGAUUGAUCUUCAGCCUUGUCCAAAAAUGUUUCAAUAAGCUUAAGUGUUUCCCUUUUUACCGAGCGCAAGAGUUUCACAAUGGAUGUCCUUGAGGCAUAGGGGCCGCCUUGUGCGAUGCUUGUAGAUAUAAGCUCACUGUACAUUCUAUAGACAUUGAGCAUGUCCAAGAAGAUCAGAGAAAUUUGAGGUAAGAAAUAAGUUCCAAGUGAGCUAGCAGCACUAGUAUUUGUCUGCAAUAUAUUUAGAACAGCACGAAUAACGUCUUGAUCUUUCAGGUAGUCCACACUUUGUCGUGCUUGUCCAAUAAUUUCAUUCCAUCUCUGAUUUGGAAGCUCCAUCAACCUCUGCAGAUACUCGUCUCUUUUUUGGGGAUCAGGUUCUGCUUGAAUCAUUUGACCAACAGAUUCGUAGAAGGUAUGAAUCUGAUGAGGUUCUAAAUCUGCAAUAGUUGUGGGAAGAGUGGUUAAAAGUUCAGAAACAAAUGGCUCGUUUUCUCCAACCUGGACUACAACGAACUUGCGCUUGCAUUUUUGAACAAUUUUCAAAAACGUAUCACAGGCCAUAUCCUGCACUCCAGGAUGUGUUUCAUGCAUG
Molecule: unclassified non-coding RNA, 1906 nt
Filed under: Hevea brasiliensis (rubber tree)
Lineage: Eukaryota; Viridiplantae; Streptophyta; Magnoliopsida; Malpighiales; Euphorbiaceae
Source: RNAcentral